RNAcentral lists this long non-coding RNA (414 nucleotides) under Homo sapiens (human). Its description in RNAcentral is "non-protein coding lnc-TTC29-3:1". The record is from RNAcentral. Lineage: Eukaryota; Metazoa; Chordata; Mammalia; Primates; Hominidae.
CCCCAGGUCUUUACUUUACAAUCGGCAAUUUGACUUGCUCUGCUGCAUGUCUGGAGGGACCAAGGAAAGUGUGGAGACGCUCCAAGGAUUAGGUGAUCGGAGCUUGAAAAGAAAAAAAGCCAAACAAAUAAACAAAACCCACCCACCCUAACAAAUAUGAGGCUGCUGGAGAGAAUGAGGAAAGACUGGUUCAUGGUCGGAAUAGUGCUGGCGAUCGCUGGAGCUAAACUGGAGCCGUCCAUAGGGGUGAAUGGGGGACCACUGAAGCCAGAAAUAACUGUAUCCUACAUUGCUGUUGCAACAAUAUUCUUUAACAGUGGACUAUCAUUGAAAACAGAGGCAGCUGCAAUAUUUAAUUCAGCCUUUGGAAGUUUUUUGGGCAUCGUUAUAACACCCCUGCUCCUGCUGCUUUUU